This 565-nucleotide ribosomal RNA is filed under the name Streptomyces sp. 303F05. Its description in RNAcentral is "bacterial SSU rRNA". It matches the Rfam family "Bacterial small subunit ribosomal RNA", at positions 93 to 672 of the family's 1533-position model. RNAcentral also lists the same sequence under 1 other name. Lineage: Bacteria; Bacillati; Actinomycetota; Actinomycetes; Kitasatosporales; Streptomycetaceae. The record is from RNAcentral.
UAGUGGCGAACGGGUGAGUAACACGUGGGCAAUCUGCCCUUCACUCUGGGACAAGCCCUGGAAACGGGGUCUAAUACCGGAUAACACCUGCCCGGGCAUCCGGGUGGGUUAAAAGCUCCGGCGGUGAAGGAUGAGCCCGCGGCCUAUCAGCUUGUUGGUGAGGUAGUGGCUCACCAAGGCGACGACGGGUAGCCGGCCUGAGAGGGCGACCGGCCACACUGGGACUGAGACACGGCCCAGACUCCUACGGGAGGCAGCAGUGGGGAAUAUUGCACAAUGGGCGAAAGCCUGAUGCAGCGACGCCGCGUGAGGGAUGACGGCCUUCGGGUUGUAAACCUCUUUCAGCAGGGAAGAAGCGAAAGUGACGGUACCUGCAGAAGAAGCGCCGGCUAACUACGUGCCAGCAGCCGCGGUAAUACGUAGGGCGCAAGCGUUGUCCGGAAUUAUUGGGCGUAAAGAGCUCGUAGGCGGCUUGUCACGUCGGGUGUGAAAGCCCGGGGCUUAACCCCGGGUCUGCAUUCGAUACGGGCUAGCUAGAGUGUGGUAGGGGAGAUCGGAAUUCCUG